GGCCUUUUGUGGUUCCAUAUGAAUUUUAGAACUAUUUGUUGUGGUUUGUUGAAAAAUGCUGUUGGUAUUUUGAUAGGGAUUGCACUGAAUCUGUAGAUUGCUUUAGGCAGGAUGGCCAUUUUGACAAUAUUAAUUUUUCCUUCCUAUUACUAUGGGAUGUAUUUCCAUUUAUUGGUGUCUUCUUUAAUUUCUCUCAUGAGCAUCUUGUGGUGAUUUCAGUUAUUAGUUCUAGUAGUUCUGGGGUGGAUUCUUUAGGGUUUUUUAUGUACAAUAUCAUGUCAUCUGCAAACAGUGACUCUUUAACUUCUUCCUUACCAAUCUGAAUGCCUUUUAUUUCUUUAUGUUGUCAGAUUGCUGAGGCUAGGACCUCCAUCCAGUACUAUGUUGAAUAAAAGUGGGGAGAGUGGGCAUCCUGUCUUUUUCCCAGUCUUAGAGGAAUAGGUUUCAGAUUUUUGCUAUUAAGCAUAAUGUUGGCUGUAGAUUUGUCAUAUACGGUCUUUAUUAUGUUGAGGUACUUGUCCUCUGUACCCAUUUAGUUGAGAGUUUUUAUCAUGAAUGGAUGUUGAAUUUUGUCAAGUGCUUUUUCUGCUUCUGUUGAGAUGAUCAUGUGAUUUUUGUCCUUUUUGUUGUGGUGGUGGAUGAUGAUGGAUUUUCAAAUAUUGUACCUUCCUUGCAUCCCAUAUCAUGAAAUCUUGAUGAACACCCUUAUUAGUUCAUGUCAUUUAUUCUGUUGAUUCCUUAGGAUUUUCAAGUAAAAGUUCUGCCAUUGCAAAUACACAGAUUUAUUCUUUCCUUUUAGAUGUGUAUGCCUUUUAUUUUAUUUUUUCUGGUGUCUUUGACUGGAAUAGAGUGGUUUUUGUCUCAAAGUUUUUCUCUUGUAUAUUAAAUUAGAAGAUUUGUUUUGAAAAUUAAAACAAGCACAACUGAAAAAAAUUUGCAAUUGCUUAGCAAAUGGUAUCUUAAGAACAGUCUACCAUGGAUUAGUACCCAAUGAGUAAAAAGGUGAAGUUGGCAUGGUCAACUCUCUCUUCUUGAAAGACUAAGACACUCUCUCAGAAAAUAAAUCCAACUUAAGAUGCCAGAAAUCUACAAACGCAGCUCCAUCACAAACCUUAGGUGGUUGGAGUUGAUGAGACACAGUUACAACACGGAGGUUAUUUCCAGGAAGAUUUGUCUUCCCAUCAGGCUCUCAUAUCUCCUGCCUGAGAAUUUCAGAGAGGCUGGAAGGAACUCAAUGCAUAAAACACAUAGUAUAAGCCUCCAUGCUUAGGCUCUACUCUCACAAAGGGGGAACUCAAAGGAGGAAAGAUGCCUUCUUGCCAUUGUUGUCACAGAAUGCCAAAUCACUUUGAAGGAAAAAAGAUUUUGCCUUUUGACAUGACCUUCCUUCUCCUUCCUGCCUGGGCUUAGAAGGAAAAUCUGGAGUUGUUGCAGACGUUUUGUGGUCAUCAUGGCAGAAACAUGGUGACAAUAGAGAACAACUAUAGAAAGUCUGGUUGGUGGCAUUCCAAAGGAGUGCUCUGUAUUCUAGGAAAGUUUGUGUUUACUUCCCUAAUCCCUGAUACAGUAGCCAUUAGUGUCAGUUGAGUCUAUUAUCACUUCCAUAUAGAUUUUUAACUGGAUUUUUGCAUGCUUCAUUGUCUUACAUUGUUUGUGAUGUCACCACCCCCCACUUUCUGUUGUCUUGUUCCAACUUAAAGUUUUUGGCUUCAAUUUUUUAGAUCCUGCUUUCUUUCAUAUAUUGAUUGUGAUUUCUAAAAUUGUCUUUCAGCUGCUACAGCUAAUAGUUCUGCAUAUUUUAAUGUGCCCCAUUUCUGCAUGUGCCUCACCUCCUUCUGCUUUUCUUAUCAAGGAACCAUUUCAGACACAACUUUUGUCAGCUGGCAGUUGGCCACUCCUCCUGUUCCCCUCCCAAGGAUACCUUGGGCCACACAUACAUCCCAGCCCAGUUCCUGGCAUCUAGGCGGUGUUCAUUUUGCAGAUUCUCUUCUGGACACAAACAGGACAUUUGCUACUCCCUGGGCUGCUCCCUGAUGUUCUGAGGAGAGACUGCAUGAAACCCAGCAGGCAGCUGCUCUUACACUCAUCAGCCUCUUCCUCUCUUAGCCUGGUUCCUAGGGAGCUUAGUGGUGGCCCAGCAGUUCUGAGAACACAAUUUACAAGUUGAAUUUUUCCACCUCCACUCUGCCCAUUUUGUGCUUGGAGUAGUUUCCAUAUGACUAGUUAGAGCACUUGGUUAGAUGGUUAGUGAGGGAGAGCAGGUGAGUGGUGGUGUGGGGAACAGCAGAUGGUUUGAGAGGUGUGUGGAGUUCACGUUUCUGCACCAUGCUGCAGACUUUUCUGGAAGGGCUGGUAAUGUGUUAUAUUUUAAUUUCCAUGACAACCAUGGCCUGCUGUUAUAUUUCUCAAUCCAUCACCAGCUGCCUUAGCCUGGGUAUCCUACUUGGCUGCAAAUGAAAACCACUUCCAGCAGAACGCAACACUGCAUAAAAGCUCCCUGCGAGACUCCGAUUUAUUACCAAGACAUACUGGUCAUUAAGAGAUCAUUUUCCCUUUGGAACAAGCAGAGUAAAUUCUGGAAGUGUAUCCAACAUGGAUGAACUCAGCAUUCAAAGCAAGGGAUCCCAGCAUCGUCUCUCAUAUGUGGCUGCUGAGACAUGAGAAACGUGACAAGUUGUGAAGCACAUGCGCCUUCACACCCACAUUCAAUCUCUUUCAAUGAGCCCACACCUCUUUCUUGACUUUCUUAUUUAUCUUCCUUUGUUGACUGUGGUCUAUGGAUUCCCCAUUUCUUUCAUGUUUCAGAGUGAUGCUCAGGCUUUUGAUGAAACGUUUUUCUGAUGAAACAUUCCUUCUAACACCCUUACUUUGGUUUUUGUCCAUGCCUUUUCUUUCCCUGUGGUCUAUAACUUCCAUUAAGAUGUUUCUAGCAUCAAAAGUAAUUCCUACUGGCAGCAGGCUUGAAAGGGUUUUGAGUAUGAUGAAGUGUGAAUAAAAACUAUACGUUCAUUUUCUUCCA
Manis pentadactyla (Chinese pangolin) is the source of this 3019-nucleotide long non-coding RNA. RefSeq lists it as uncharacterized. Lineage: Eukaryota; Metazoa; Chordata; Mammalia; Pholidota; Manidae. The record is from RefSeq and is a predicted model, not a curated record. The transcript has 2 exons.